GGAGAGGUCGCAUAGUUGGCUUAGUGCGCCGGUUUGCUAAACCGGUGUGGGGUUAAACCCACCGAGGGUUCGAAUCCCUCCCUCUCCGCCA
This 91-nucleotide transfer RNA is filed under the name Candidatus Omnitrophota bacterium. RNAcentral's name for it is "Candidatus Omnitrophica bacterium tRNA-Ser". It matches the Rfam family "tRNA". Rfam says of the family: Transfer RNA (tRNA) molecules are approximately 80 nucleotides in length. Their secondary structure includes four short double-helical elements and three loops (D, anti-codon, and T loops). The record is from RNAcentral. Lineage: Bacteria; Pseudomonadati; Candidatus Omnitrophota.